GUUAAGAUAAUUUAAAUAGAAUACUAGAUUGUGAUUCUAGAAAUAAGAGUUAAAUUCUCUUUUUUAACC
Molecule: transfer RNA, 69 nt
Filed under: Hynobius lichenatus
Lineage: Eukaryota; Metazoa; Chordata; Amphibia; Caudata; Hynobiidae
Description: tRNA-His
Rfam family: tRNA
About the family: Transfer RNA (tRNA) molecules are approximately 80 nucleotides in length.
Source: RNAcentral